RNAcentral lists this unclassified non-coding RNA (3310 nucleotides) under Anthonomus grandis grandis. RNAcentral's name for it is "nGFI-A-binding protein homolog". The record is from RNAcentral. Lineage: Eukaryota; Metazoa; Arthropoda; Insecta; Coleoptera; Curculionidae.
UACUGCAGUGAACUGACAACAGUAGAAAACUUACCUAUUGCAUGGGUCUACUUUUUAUUUAUUUUUUUAUUAUAUGACCCAUAUUGGCAGUCAUGGACCCAAACACAAGUUCAAAUUGCACCCAAGCCUCGAACAGUACUUCGGGGGAAGAGGACCGGCUUUCGAAUGCUAGCGCGGAAACUUCGAAUCCUCCUCCAGUUAUUAGUGGUAACCUUUCUUUAAACUAUGGUGCCAGUGCAGCUAGUUCUAGUGCGAGACAAUCUCCUAAGGUGUUAACCCCACAUUCGCAAGUUUUGCUACCUCUUCGAAACUCUGUGUCUCCUUCAGUGCCUCGCAAAAUAAUGGGAAAAAAUCAUAAUAAUACCGUAUUUCCAACAUCGUUCCCAAGUAACUUGGCAGAGCUUCAGCUCUUCAGGGUGAUGCAAAAUGCCUCACUUCUACUUUACUACGAUACGUUAUUGGAAAUGGGUGGUGAUGAUGUCCAACAACUGUGCGAUGCCGGAGAGGAUGAAUUUCUCGAAAUCAUGUCACUUGUUGGGAUGGCUUCAAAACCCCUUCACGUGAGGAGGUUACAAAAAUCGCUUCAAGAAUGGGUCACUAACCCAAUAAAAUUCAAAAUACCGCUCGUCCCAGGGGAAGACUUCGAAAUCGAACUGUCAAGCCCAAGAGUGACAAGCAAUCAUGUUUUCUAUUCUGCAGCAGAUAGCGGGGAGAAUAGUCGAACAAUGUACUCGCCUUCUCCUGCUGAAAUAUGUGCCUUACCUCCUGUAGUUAGUCCCGGCUUAAAUAUUAAUAAUAAAAGACCUUAUUCACCUCUUGAUCCUGCCUGUCCUCCAUCGAGCAGUAGCAGUCCUAGUGGAAACUCAUCAUCAGUGGUUUCUCCAAGUCUAUUGGAGAAUCAAAUAUCUAAGCUAGCAGCGGCAGCAGAGAUGCUCAGCAAACAACUACCAAACUUAGAACCAAAACCUCAAAAUGCCAAAAAGAAAGUCUGUAAGGAACUAGAACUAGUGAUGUCUAUGCCAGAGAAUGAUCCUAGAAGAAUGGAUGAAAUUAGGAGAUAUGCUGCUAUAUAUGGAAGAUUUGAUUGCAAACGGAAACCAGAAAAACCUCUCACUCUUCAUGAAGUAUCUGUAAACGAGGCUGCUGCUCAGAUCUGUAAGUUUGUACCUGCACUCCUUACUAGGAGAGAUGAACUUUUCCCUCUAGCUAGACAAGUUGUAAAAGACUCUGGAUGCUAUUACUCCAAAACACAAUUAUCAGCAGUGUACCUCAAUAGACAAACUAACAUGAGCUUAGGGCAUGAGAGGGAUCAAACUGACAAUAGGAUACAGGGUCGAUUUCCUGUAGAACCGGACAGUCAUCAAAACAAAAGAAUUAAACUAGAGCCAAGCUCUGAUAAUGAUGAUCAACGCCAGGUCAGCCAAAUGCCAAGGCACAGCAAAUAUUACUUGCAUCACACUCAACCUCAGGCUUUUAUUAACUUAGAGGAUUGAUUUGACAGCUUUUUGGGCGCUAUUGGCAAUAUAAUAACAGACUUGGAGCAUGCUUUAAUGCUUUAAAUGUUUAUUCUUCUUGCUUAUUGCUUACUGUUUAUAAUAUUUAUGUAGCUUCUGCUUUCUAGCUAGGAUAUUUAUUUAUAGAUGCGAGAAGAUUUAUUAUAGGUAAGUGCAGGUACUUAAUGAGGUAAGUUUAAGGAAAAUAUCUAAUUGUUUCUCGUGCAAUUGUUUCCAUCUUUUAACGUUCUUGUGAUACUUGAUUUUUGUUUAAAAUGUGAUGUUUGAGGGUAGGAAGACAUAAUAGUGUGAUAUCUGUAUGGGCCUUAAUUUUUGUAAAAGUGUGAUUAGAAAUCGUCAAUAUUUUUUCUUUAGUAAAUUUAAAUUAAAUACAAUUUUGUAAAACCUAGUCAAAGAAAAUGUAAAUAAUAUUACGUUUAGCAUUUGUAGAAAAUAAAGUCAUGAAAUCAGAGUACAACGAUAAGACCACUAGAUUUAGUACUGCUUGAAAGUUAUUUUGAAGGUGUUGUGCUUAAGUGAAGCGAUUGAAGUGUUCAUUUUAAGUGCAUUAUUGAUGUCUAAUGUGAUUUUUAUGAGUAUUUGAGUGAUCAUUUUUAGUGAUGCUAAUAUUCAAGCGUGUGGUUUAUUUUGCGUAAGUAGAUAUCAAGGCAAAUGUUUUUAAUGAAAAAGAGCCACUGACAAAAAAUAUAUGCUAUAGCAGUGGCUUAUAGUAUUUCUAAAUAAAAUCGUUAUAGCAUAAGACAUUCCUGGAAUAUAUCCAUCAGUAUCUUCAAAUUAUUUAAAUAUUAAUUUUUGGUAGAGUAGUUCUCAAAAACUUGUAUAUCCGACUUUUCUAAUAUUAAUAUAGUGAAAUACGUAGCGAAAUUAUGAAGCAAUAUAAAAAUUAUUUUAAUUUUUUUGUAUCCUACUUUUUAACUCCGUCAAAAUUCUACACAUUUUGAGCGAUCAAUACUAUCGGGGAACUGUGGUAUAGGAGUCAAAGUUUAGAAAAAAUAGAAUUAGAGUUAAAUUUAAACAAACAUAGAUACAUUAUUAAGCUUUAUCAUCCAUUUAACGAAUUUGAUAAUUAUCCAUCACGAAUUUAAAGAAAGAGGACAUGUGCGACACAUACUCGCCCAGCUAAGGUCUCAAAUGCGGAAAUCAAUAUAUUAACUUGUACUCGUAUUGCGUAUUUUCUUUCUUAGUGACAAGGACAAGUGGAAAAUCGGCAACUCGCUGAGAGUAUUGUUCUUUCUUUUAGUUAAGUGCAUAUUACUUCGUGGAUAUUUCGGCACUGAAGAAAGAAAUUUGCAAUAAUGUAAAUAUGUAGCAGGUCUUAACAAGCAAUAAUAGUAAAAUCUUUGACAAUUAUCAACCAGUAAAAAAAGGUUCAAGCAAAAAAUGCCUGGAGAAUUUGCUGAAUGGUCAUGGAAUUGUAGUGUGCUAUUAGGCUUUAGGUACAAAAGUAUUAAAAAAGUGGAUAUUUUGGAUGAACUUAGGAUAUUUCUGGAAUAUUUUUGUUUUAUUUCUCUUGCUUGAAUAUUUUAGGAUUUUACAUUUUUUUUUCUGGUUUUAAAUAUCAUAAGCAACAUAUAUCCUUGGAAUGUCUUUAUGUUAUUAGGAUAAGAUAUUUUUUUACGAUCAUCUACUUUCUACAAAUUAAUAUGGUAUUUUAAAGGUUUCAGAAAACACCUCAUUGACAUCAAUAGGUACUAUUCAAGUUUACAAUAAGUGCCUGGCGAGGAAAGGAUUACGACGACGCGUUAGCUGUUCGGCAAUCGUUACACUCGCUAUUUCAGAAAAAUCACCAUCAAGGU